UAUCUGAGAUAUUCUAGUUAAUAUAUAUAUUAUAUAUAUGUAAGUAAUGAUUAUUAUUAAUAUUUUAUAUUAUAUUAUAUUAUAUAUAUAUAUAACAAAAGAAAGAAUAGAAAUGAGAAAGAAAGAAACAGAGAGCAAAACGAAACAGAGAAGGGAGAAAGAAGAAAAAGAAAGAGCGACGGUUCAGGGGUUUCAAAACUUCUAAAUUCAAUUGAUCAAGAAGUACGAAACUCGAGGUUAGACAAAGGGAAGAAUAAAGUUGAAGACUAAGUUGGUGAAUUUGGCUAUAAUUGGUACCGAGGUAAGUUUACGGUAAAUAAAUGCAAUAUUUCAAUAUUUAUUAUUAAUGCUGUUAAUUUCCAGCAAUUAUGAAUUUAUUUUAUGAAUUUAUUUGAUGAUGAUCCAAGCAUGAAAUGAUAGAGAAUUAAAAUUUAAAAGUCCCGUUGAUACAUAAGGAUGGUACUGGAUACGAAUGUCAUGACAUUUGGGUAAAGAGAUCCCAUGUAAGACCAUGUCUGGGACAUGGCAUUGGCAUCCUUAAGAUCAUGAGAGGUCCCCUGUAAGACCAUGUCUGGGACAUGGCAUGGGCACCGAGACGAGAGGUCCCAUGUAAGACCAUGUCUGGGACAUAGUGUUGGCACCGAGAUGAGAGGUCCCCUAUAAGACAAUGUCUGGGACAUGGCAUGGGCACCAUCACGAGAACAUCCCAUGUAAGACCAUGUCUGGGACAUGGCUUUGGCAUGUUAUUAUCAGAAGAGACCCGAGUAUCCUUAUUAUUCCAAUGUAGUUCAACGGGCUUGUAAACGAAUCAUGUUCAUGAAAGUUCAGUUUAAAGCAUAAAUGGCAAGCUCAGGUAAGUUAUAAGACUUAAGAACUUAUUAUACUAUCAAUUGAUGUUCAACGAUGCAGCAAGGAUUGAGUAAGUUAUGCACACAAAUAUUCUAAGUAAACAAGUAAGAGAACUAGUAUGAGAUUAACUAAAGAGUAAACUAGAGAUAUAGACAUAGAGUUUAAUUAUUUAAGUUAAAUAUUGUUAUUUAUUUGCUAGUAAACUUACUAAGCUUUAUACUUACUUCUUUUAUUUCUCUUUCUCUUAUAGUAUUGCAAAGCUACUUCAAGGAUUCUAAAGAAGUCGGAGAUCGUCCACACUAUCAACUACAACUGCUCGGUAUUUUAUAUCGAAACACGUUUAAGUUAUGGCAUGUAUAGGGAUUUAGUUAUUUUGUAUGUUUGUAGUGAUGAUUUUGCUAAUGAGUGAUGUGUAAGUAUUUGAUGAUGUAUGGUUAUUAAAAUGAUUAAGGAUGAAGGUGUUUGUUGUUAUGAAAGAUUAGGUGAUAAAUUAUGCAUGGAAAUCAUGAAAGGAUAAAAUUUUGCAAAGAAACAGAAUUCAGGCAGCACAGUGACGUGAAUUUGAAAAAUCACCCAAGAUAGUAUAAAAUGAAUUAGAGGGUGAAUGAUAUAUGGAAUUAAAGUUUGUUGAGUCUAUUUUCAUGGAAAAAUAACGGUGUAGAAAAAAAGAAAUUUGUAUUUUAAGAUAUGUGAAUUUUAGCAAGAUAGGGUCAGAACUAUUUUUGGAGUCCCCUGUUCUGAGUUUAGAAAAUAAUUACAAAUUGUACAAAAAUGGUUAUGAGUUGAAAUUUACAUGCUUAGAUUCCUUAAUGAGUCUAUUUUCUAUAGAAACAAGUAAGAACUUCAUAUGAAAAUCCUAUAGUGAGAAAACUUAUUUUUAGUGACUAGAGGUCAGGGCAGUCUGGUGGUGACACAGGGGAGACUUUAACUAAUAAACUGUACUAAUUUUCUGAACCAAAAAUUCUAAAAAUUUUAUGGUGAGUAGAUAUAUGAGUCUAGUUUCAGGGAAAAUUUACGGGAUUAAAUUUCGAGUUCUGUAGCUCAAGUUAUAAUUAAUUUAGUAACUGCUGCGCGAUUAGACAGAUUUGCUCCGAAUUGGUAAGAUAAGCUAAGUAAUGCCUCGUGCUCGACUCCGGAAACGGUCUCGGGUAAGGGGUGUUACAUUUUAUUGGUAUCAGAGCAGGUUUAGUCGGUUCUCGGAAAUACUCAGUAAGAAUAAGAGUCUACCUAUACAUGCCAUACUUAUAUAUUUUGAUAGUGUGACGACUCCUGACGAUUUUACAAUGUUUUCUUUUAUAGUUAUGGAUCAUGAACGAGCUAGUACAGAUGAAGUAGAGAGUAAUGCACCUAUUCCCGCAGAAGGGACGGUGCCAUCAGAUGUUAUAUCAGUCCCAUAUUUCCUAAGUGUUCUGUUUCGUCUACUGGGCCUCUGCUAAAAAAAAUGUUACAAGAUAAAAGAUUAUCUUUGAUUCAAUGAUGAAUGAUUAUAAAGGAAAAAUAAGUUACAAAGCUGUGAAUAAAGAAGUAUGUAUUUGUAAUAAAAUAAUUUAAAGUUGUGAAUAAAUAAAUGUUAUUUAGUUCUGUAUGGAGAUUUAAAAUAGUAAUCCUUAUAGAUAAGGAUGAAAAUAUACAUUUAUACACUUAAAAGAGUAACCUUGAUAAAUGAGAAAUGUUUUACUAAUAGACAAAAAUGUCUCCAAUUGAUCUAGUUCCGACAGUGAUGAAAGUGAUAUUUGAGUAUUUGAUAGAGAAAGGGGAGUUGCCUAUAUGAGUAAAGAUUUAUAAGGUAUGAAAUGAAUGUUUGUAAUGAAUAUAUUGACGAUAAAAGUCAUGUUAUGUGUAUAUAUAUAAGUAUAUAUAUAAGAGUCAAAUUUUGAGGCUUUACGACCUUCACCCCCUCACCUGAACAAUGGAAUUUACAAGAAUUGUAUUCAUUAAGUUUACAAGUGUGAAAUUGAAGAGUUCAAUAAUUGAAGGAAUAAUAAUGCAGUCAGAAUUGUGGAUGGGAUAGCAAGUAAAGAGAGUUCUAGAAAGGAUAUUAGAUUUUUUUUAAAUGAUUAUUGGGAUUUGCAAUGUCGCUAUUAAGGAAGAAGCUAUUCACGAGUAACCGACUUACUCAGGUAUAAAAUUUAAAGAGCAGGUUAAUCGGAAUUUCUUCUGAAUUGAUUUCUUUAAUGAUUGAGAUAAUGUGAGAUUAUUGAUGACUUUAGUAAUCAGUGGGAUUGUGUUGAAAAUUGCAAACAUAUCUGAAUGCAGUUGUUAUAGUCGAGUAUUUUACAAUGAUCUCUUCUGGGUAUUCUAUAUGGGUAUUCUAUAUGCUCUUUUAUCCUCAGAGGUAUAUGCAAUUAUUUAUUUUCAGAUAUGAUUCUUAUCAUAUAGCAAGGUUGGCUAAUCGUAUUGUUAGACGAAAUUAUUAUUAGUCUGGUUGAUUCAUGAUCGGGAUUCCUCUAUCUUUCUUUGGUUUUCUAACCUAUUAUGUUCGAUGGAAGAUUUGAUGAUAAGACUCAUAUGAAGCUAUUUUCUAUUUCUACUGGUUGAAGCUCCGAAUUAUAUAUAUGGAAUUUAUAUUGUCUGUAACACCCCUUACCCGUAUCCAACACCGGAAUAGGGUACGAGGCAUUACCAAAACACAUACACUUGUAAACGUAUUUAACCGAGUUAUAAAAUUUCAUCAAAAUUAAAACUUUCAAAAAUAAUUAACAUGUUUCUAUAACUUUUCACAAUAUGUCCUUAAAAUAUUAUAAUCAUAAUAAUUAGGGCCUGCGAGACCCGAUACAUACUCAUGCAAUUUAAUGCUUCAUUUCCAUUUCAUUCAAUUCGCAAUUUCUCAUGCUCAUAAUUUAAAUCAUAUCACUAGAAAUUUCCAUUUAAUUCACGUACAAUUCAAUGACAUCAAAUUCAAAACUAAUACGUAUUUACCAUUUAACUCAAUGUUUAUUGAUUAUACCAUUCAAUAACACAUUUAUGAAAUUCUCAAUUUAGCAAUGAAAAUAUCACUUUAGUUUGAAUAACAACAUCGUCCUGAUAUAAAUACACUACCACUUAUCCAUUUACUUUACUUCUUUUGGGCCCAUUUGUCACUUACCAUCUUUAAUCAAAUUAGGGAACGGUCACGGAAAAUUGAGUACUUCACUUUCACUUUGCCAUAGUAUAACUAUGGUCUUACGUAUGAUCACUUAUCACUUGUCCCUGAUCAGAUAAGUGUAGCCACCUAUCACUUUGUUUCUUGAUCACAUAAGUGUAGCCACUUAUCACUUUGUUUCUUGAUCAGAUAAGUGUAGCCACUUAUCACUUUGUCACUUGAUCAGAUAAGUGUAGCUAAAGCUAUCACUUAUCACUUUGUCACUUGAUCAGAUAAGUAUAGCCGAAGCUAUCACUUAUCACUUUAUCACUUGAUCAGAUAAGUAUAGCCGAAGCUAUUACUUAUCACUUUCCACUUGUCACUUGAUCAGAUAAGUGUAGCUAAAGCUACCACUUAUCACUUUAUCACUUGAUCAGAAGUACUCAAAUCCGGCGUUCCGCUCAAUUUGAUCAUUUAUUCAUAUAUCAGGCUUACCAACAUGUGUUAAUUCAUAAACCAUUCAUGGUAUUAUUUCAUGCCAAAUCAUAUACUGAAUAUACCAUACACACAUAUUAUUAAACUUUAUUUUCACACAUGAGCUUAAACCAUGACCAAUAAUGCACAAAAAUAAGCAUCAUUCAUAUUUCAUCGUUUAUGAGUUAUAAUCAAACAUAUGACCAUUUAUACACGAAUCAUUCAUAUAUUUCCCAAUUUUCCUCCUCCUCCUCUCCAUUCCACAUCCUUAAUGUGUAUAACACACUUAAACAACAUUAACCAUAAUUUCAAUAUUCACUAACAUGUAUAUUCAAAGCUGUUUAUCCGAGUCAGAGUCACUAAAUUAUUUUUAUCCGGAGCUACAGAGCUCCAAAUUAAGAUCCGUUAAUUUUCCCUGAAACUAGACUCACAUAUCUUCAUACCAUAAAAUUUUCAUAAUUUUUGGUUCAGCCAAAUAGUACAGUUUAUUCUUUAAAGUUUCUCCUGUUUCGCUGUCUGACAGUUCCGACCACUCUUCACUAAAAAUUAAUUAUCUCAUUGUACAGAAUUCGGAUGAUGUUUUAGCUUGUUUCUUCUAAAAAUAGACUCAUUAAAGAUUCUAACCAUAUAAACUAUAACUCAUAAUAAUUUCUGUACAAUUUUUAAUGAUUUUCCAAAGUCAGAACAGGGGAACCCGAAUUCAUUCUGACCUUGUCUCACAAAAUCUAUUAUAUCUCAUGAUUUACAAUUCCAUUGCUCACAUCAUUUCUUUUAUAAGAAACUAGACUCAAUAAGCUUUAAUUUCAUAUUUUAUUCAUCCUCUAAUUCAAUCUCUACAAUUUUUGGUGAUUUUUCAAAGUUACACUACUGCUGCUGUCCAAAACUGCUUUAGUGCAAAAUGUUGAUUUCCAUUUUGCCCCAAAUUUCACAGUUUAUACAAUUCGGUCCUUUCUCAAUUAACCCCUCAAUUAAUCUAAUUUUCUCAAUUAGUACUUUACUAGACAUUAUAAGUUGUUACACAACUAUUGAAAUUCAGAAUUUCCACAUAUAACUCUAUCUUCAAACUCUUUUACUAUUAGGUCCCAAACAUUCACUUUCUAUUCAAUUCUUUCAAUAAAAUCAGCAUAUGAACAAUUUAAAGCUCUAAUUUCAUGCUAAAUCAUCAUAUACUUCCAGCACAUAUUCAUAUCAACUUUCAACUUCUUUCAUAAAAUCAAAAACUAAUGAAUUUAACAAGUGGGCCUAGUUGUAAAAGUCAUAAAAAUACAAAAAUUUCAAGAAAUAGUCAAGAAUUGAACUUAAUUGUAAUAAAAAUAUGAAGAACCAGCUUGAAGAAGCCCUUCCAUGGUGUUUUAGCUGAUGAGAAUUCAGAAAAAUGAAGAGAAAUCUAGAUAAUUCCACUUGGGUCCUAACUUUAUUAAGCAAAUUUUCCAAUUUUCCAAUUUUGCCCUUAAUUCUCCUUACUUUCUUGCUGAUUUCAUGCCUCUGCCGUCCAGCCCAAAUAGACCUUGGGUCUAUUUGCUUUUUAAGCCCUCUUCCUUUUAUCAUUUAAGCUAUUUAAUCAUUUCCCAAAAUUUUGCAUUUGUUACAAUUUAGUCCUUUUUGUUCAAUUAAUUAUCGGAACUUUAAAAUUUCUUAACGAAACUUUAAUACUAACUUUUUAACACUCCAUAAAUAUUUAUAAAAAUAUUUAUGGCUCAGUUUAAAAUCCCCGAGGUCUUGAUACCUCAUUUCGAUUCUAAUUAUUUUAAUAUUUAUUUCUAGUGCACUAUUCACUAUUUCAAAAAUUUUCCUAACUUCAUAUUUAACUUAUACUUACUAAAUUAAUAAUAUUUUCUACCCAUUUGUCGAAUUUAGUGAUCUCGAAUCACCGUUCCGACACCUCUGAAAAUUCAAGCCAUUACAUUUUUUUUCAUCGGAUUUGUGGUCCCGAAACCACUGUUCCGACUAAGCCUAAAAUCGGGCUAUUACAUUGUCUUUAUCACAACUAUUCCUAGUACGUACAAGUGAUAUUCUUCUUUUGGAUUUUCUCUGGGAUAUCAUCGAUCUCUUUAUCAUUCAAUGUGGUUUUUCUUCUCGAAAAUUUAGUAUAGCUUCACAUCUUGGAUUUUAUUAUCUCGGUUUUCUUAUUAUUCUUAUGGUCUAAUCUUAUCUAUUAACCAUGGUUUAUCCGUACAAGAUAUUCAUUGGCCGGAGGUAAUUAUAUUUAUUACUGUUAUAAAUCUUGGUUUGAUCAUGGGAACUCGGUGAUAUGGAUCUCAGAUUUUAGAAGUUGUAUUACUGCACUGGUUGUUAUUGGGACUACUUCGGUUUUCUUCAUCUAUUUUGGAGUGCACUAUUGAUGUUGAGGUAUUGUUCUAUCUAUAUAGUUGGAACGUCGGUCCUAGUAUAGCUCUAUAGUUUUUAAUCUAUUUGAUGGUUGUGGCUUCGGUAUAGUUCAAAGCUUCGAUGUUAAUGAUUGAAAUAGUUUUAUUAUAUAUAUAAUUCCUUUCUAGUUUUCGUGAAAGGGUUGACAUCGGCAAAAGUAUAGAUGGAGGAAGAUUGAGCUCAAACUUGUAUUUUGGUUUUCAUUUCUCAGGUAAUUCUGAAAUUAUGUCAACAAGUUAAUAAUGGAAUGUCAAAAUUCGUUUGAGUUAAAUGCUAUUAGUGGAAAUUUUCGAUUGGUGUUCCGAGAGGAUUAUGAUAUAUGGUAUAUCUGGAUUGUUUUGACAACAAGAAGAAUGGAUUAUUCUGAAAUGUUAUUAUCUGAUAGAUAAAAUCGACUCAGUUGUUUUAAUCAGAGUGGGUUAUUCAUUGAAAAGUUAAUUGAGUUAUAAUCAGUGAUGGAAUCAGUACAUCUUGGGUCUCCACAAUGGGUUUAAAUUAUCUGUUUUCUUAUCGCUGGAUGGGUUUCCAAGAUCUUCGUUCAAAGGUAUUAAAUAAGAUAAUUCGGGUUUCUCAGUUAUGUUUCGGCAGACAAUUACUGGACAUUUCUUGGUAGUCAUACUACUAGUGAAAAAGUGAUGGCAAGAGAACAUCAGAGCUGCUCAGUUAAGUUCAGGCAUAGUAUCAAUUUCUAAAAUGAGUUUUGAUAUGAGUUCGGAAGUGAUAUGAGUUAUGAUUAAUUUUUAUGGACUUCGAUUGAAAGGGGUGAAGAAAGAUUUGACUUAAUAGCUUGUAUCAGGUGAGAAAUUUCGAGGACGAAAUAUUUUUAAGGGGGGAAGAGUUGUAACAGCCCAAUUUUCAGUAGUGUCAGAAUAGUGAUUUGAGAUCACUAAAUUCGAUGAAGAAGUUAGAAAUAUUUUUGAAUUAGUGAAUUUUGUGAUUUAAAAGAAAUUAUUAGGUAAAUUGGGUCGAAAACGAGGUAUCGAGACCUCGAUAUUAUAAACUGAGCCGUAAAUAUUUUUAUAAAUAUUUACGGAGUGUCAAUAGGAUAAUAUUAAAGUUUCGUUAAGAAAUUUUAAUGUUUCGAUAGUUAAUUAGGAAAAAGGAUUAAAUUGCAAUAGGGAUAAAAGUUUAAUUAUAGAUUAAAGAAAAGUUAAAAGGACCAAAUAGGCAAUUAUGCCUUUUUCUAAAGUUGAGGCGGCAUAAUGAAAGAAAUAUUGAGAUAUUCUAGUUAAUAUAUAUAUAUUAUAUAUAUGUAAGUAAUGAUUAUUAUUAAUAUUUUAUAUUAUAUUAUAUUAUAUAUAUAUAACAAAAGAAAGAAUAGAAAUGAGAAAGAAAGAAACAGAGAGCAAAACGAAACAGAGAAGGGAGAAAGAAGAAAAAGAAAGAGCGACGGUUCAGGGGUUUCAAAACUUCUAAAUUCAAUUGAUCAAGAAGUACGAAACUCGAGGUUAGACAAAGGGAAGAAUAAAGUUGAAGACUAAGUUGGUGAAUUUGGCUAUAAUUGGUACCGAGGUAAGUUUACGGUAAAUAAAUGCAAUAUUUCAAUAUUUAUUAUUAAUGCUGUUAAUUUCCAGCAAUUAUGAAUUUAUUUUAUGAAUUUAUUUGAUGAUGAUCCAAGCAUGAAAUAAUAGAGAAUUAAAAUUUAAAAGUCCCGUUGAUACAUAAGGAUGGUACUGGAUACGAAUGUCAUGACAUUUGGGUAAAGAGAUCCCAUGUAAGACCAUGUCUGGGACAUGGCAUUGGCAUCCUUAAGAUCAUGAGAGGUCCCCUGUAAGACCAUGUCUGAGACAUGGCAUGGGCACCGAGACGAGAGGUCCCAUGUAAGACCAUGUCUGGGACAUGGCGUUGGCACCGAGAUGAGAGGUCCCCUAUAAGACCAUGUCUGGGACAUGGCAUGGGCACCAUCACGAGAACAUCCCAUGUAAGACCAUGUCUGGGACAUGGCUUUGGCAUGUUAUUAUCAGAAGAGACCCGAGUAUCCUUAUUAUUCCAAUGUAGUUCAACGGGCUUGUUAAACGAAUCAUGUUCAUGAAAGUUCAGUUUAAAGCAUAAAUGGCAAGCUCAGGUAAGUUGUAAGACUUAAGAACUUAUUAUACUAUCAAUUGAUGUUCAAUGAUGCAGCAAGGAUUGAGUAAGUUAUGCACACAAAUAUUCUAAGUAAACAAGUAAGAGAACUAGUAUGAGAUUAACUAAAGAGUAAACUAGAGAUAUAGACAUUGAGUUUAAUUAUUUAAGUUAAAUAUUGUUAUUUAUUUGCUAGUAAACUUACUAAGCUUUAUGCUUACUUCUUUUAUUUCUCUUUCUUUUAUAGUAUUGCAAAGCUACUUCAAGGAUCCUAAAGAAGUCGGAGAUCGUCCACACUAUCAACUACAGCUGCUCGGUAUUUUAUAUCGAAACACGUUUAAGUUAUGGCAUGUAUAGGGAUUUAGUUAUUUUGUAUGUUUGUAGUGAUGAUUUUGCUAAUGAGUGAUGUGUAAGUAUUUGAUGAUGUAUGGUUAUUAAAAUGAUUAAGGAUGAAGGUGUUUGUUGUUAUGAAAGAUUAGGUGAUAAA
RNAcentral lists this long non-coding RNA (9302 nucleotides) under Gossypium barbadense (sea-island cotton). RNAcentral's name for it is "long non-coding RNA (GBAR_LNC015892)". Lineage: Eukaryota; Viridiplantae; Streptophyta; Magnoliopsida; Malvales; Malvaceae. The record is from RNAcentral.